GUCCUUUUAUUUUUUACAAAAACGUCCUAUUUUAUUAGUGUCAGGUAACUGACUAUGACGAUAAACGGCUUAUGGAAUAAGCGUUGCGGACCCGGGGGCGGUACCCGGCGUCUCCACCAUAUUAUGGGGACGAAACAGGAUCGACGUGCGUAGUAAAGAUAAGUUUUUCGUUCGGUGUGCGCCGCCGCUAUCGGGCAAAUUUUAUAGAUGCCAACUCAAACAAGGCACCUGUAGCUAACUUUAACCGCGCUUAUGCUGCGGUAGCUGCCUAAUAUCUUAGCAAUAGCGGAUAUUAAGUACUUUAGUUAGUCGCGGUUCGGGGGCACCGGGCAACAGAAGCCCCCACU
This 347-nucleotide transfer-messenger RNA is filed under the name Candidatus Paracaedibacteraceae bacterium. It matches the Rfam family "Alphaproteobacteria transfer-messenger RNA". From Rfam's summary of the family: Bacterial tmRNA, also known as 10Sa RNA or SsrA, is named for its dual tRNA and mRNA-like properties. The record is from RNAcentral. Lineage: Bacteria; Pseudomonadati; Pseudomonadota; Alphaproteobacteria; Holosporales; Candidatus Paracaedibacteraceae.